Molecule: ribosomal RNA, 416 nt
Filed under: Microbacterium arborescens
Lineage: Bacteria; Bacillati; Actinomycetota; Actinomycetes; Micrococcales; Microbacteriaceae
Description: bacterial SSU rRNA
Rfam family: Bacterial small subunit ribosomal RNA
Source: RNAcentral
GAGGCAGCAGUGGGGAAUAUUGCACAAUGGGCGAAAGCCUGAUGCAGCAACGCCGCGUGAGGGAUGACGGCCUUCGGGUUGUAAACCUCUUUUAGCAGGGAAGAAGCGAAAGUGACGGUACCUGCAGAAAAAGCGCCGGCUAACUACGUGCCAGCAGCCGCGGUAAUACGUAGGGCGCAAGCGUUAUCCGGAAUUAUUGGGCGUAAAGAGCUCGUAGGCGGUCUGUCGCGUCUGCUGUGAAAACCCGAGGCUCAACCUCGGGCCUGCAGUGGGUACGGGCAGACUAGAGUGCGGUAGGGGAGAUUGGAAUUCCUGGUGUAGCGGUGGAAUGCGCAGAUAUCAGGAGGAACACCGAUGGCGAAGGCAGAUCUCUGGGCCGUAACUGACGCUGAGGAGCGAAAGGGUGGGGAGCAAAC